AUGUACGAGGAUAUCUUCCAGACACCUUAUGCCAUUAACGGGUUUGUAAAAUCCUACAUAGCUGAACUCAAGGCAAUCCAGACUCCGACGGCCGUUGGGGUCAGGGCUCCACAAGCUCGAGGUAACAGAUGGAUUGCACCACCACAGGGCCUGGUGAAGAUCAAUGUUGAUGCCGCCGUAGGCCGGGAGAGAGGUGCGGCAGGAGCUAUCUGUAGAGAUCAGGAUGGAGCCUUCUUGGGAGCUUCGGCGGUGGUCUUCUCUCAUCUUUCAGAUCCAGGCACUUUGGAGAUGCUCGCUAUUAGGGAAGCCCUGGCACUGGCAGAUGACAUAUAUGUCAGGAGGAUUCAUGUUGCGUCGGACUGUAAAGUGGCCGUGGAUGACAUCCAUCAACAAUGCAAAGGAAGCUAUGGGGCUAUUGCACAUGAAAUCAUACAGCAUAGGGCAGAAUUUGAGGUUUGUAAUAUACGUCAUGAGUUUAGGAGCUCGAACAUCGAAGCUCACAAACUAGCAAAGCACGCUUUAUCUCUCGGGGUUGGUCGCCAUGUUUGGUUAGGCCAGCCCAACGAUCUUGAUUUCGUCCCUGUAAACAUUGUGACGACGUAA
RNAcentral lists this ribosomal RNA (603 nucleotides) under Triticum aestivum (bread wheat). RNAcentral's name for it is "partial small subunit ribosomal RNA". Lineage: Eukaryota; Viridiplantae; Streptophyta; Magnoliopsida; Poales; Poaceae. The record is from RNAcentral.